GAUGAACGCUAGCUACAGGCUUAACACAUGCAAGUCGAGGGGAAACGAUAGAGAAAGCUUGCUUUUUCUAGGCGUCGACCGGCGCACGGGUGAGUAACGCGUAUCCAACCUGCCCACCACUUGGGGAUAACCUUGCGAAAGUAAGACUAAUACCCAAUGACGUCUCUAGAAGACAUCUGAAAGAGAUUAAAGAUUUAUCGGUGAUGGAUGGGGAUGCGUCUGAUUAGCUUGUUGGCGGGGUAACGGCCCACCAAGGCGACGAUCAGUAGGGGUUCUGAGAGGAAGGUCCCCCACAUUGGAACUGAGACACGGUCCAAACUCCUACGGGAGGCAGCAGUGAGGAAUAUUGGUCAAUGGACGAGAGUCUGAACCAGCCAAGUAGCGUGAAGGAUGAAGGUCCUACGGAUUGUAAACUUCUUUAUAAGGGAAUAAACCCUCCCACGUGUGGGAGCUUGUAUGUACCUUAUGAAUAAGCAUCGGCUAACUCCGUGCCAGCAGCCGCGGU
RNAcentral lists this ribosomal RNA (505 nucleotides) under uncultured bacterium. Its description in RNAcentral is "bacterial SSU rRNA". It matches the Rfam family "Bacterial small subunit ribosomal RNA", at positions 28 to 521 of the family's 1533-position model. The record is from RNAcentral.